CCUACGGGCGGCUGCAGUGGGGAAUAUUGGACAAUGGGCGAAAGCCUGAUCCAGCCAUGCCGCGUGUGUGAAGAAGGCCUUCGGGUUGUAAAGCACUUUCAGUGGGGAAGAAAGCCUUGGGGCUAAUACCCUCGAGGAAGGACAUCACCCACAGAAUAAGCACCGGCUAACUCCGUGCCAGCAGCCGCGGUAAUACGGAGGGUGCGAGCGUUAAUCGGAAUUACUGGGCGUAAAGCGCGCGUAGGCGGUCUGAUAAGCCGGUUGUGAAAGCCCCGGGCUCAACCUGGGAACGGCAUCCGGAACUGUCAGGCUAGAGUGCAGGAGAGGAAGGUAGAAUUCCCGGUGUAGCGGUGAAAUGCGUAGAGAUCGGGAGGAAUACCAGUGGCGAAGGCGGCCUUCUGGACUGACACUGACGCUGGGGUGCGAAAGCGUGGGUAGCAAACAGGAUUAGAUACCCCAUAGUC
This 464-nucleotide ribosomal RNA is filed under the name Vreelandella stevensii. RNAcentral describes it as "partial 16S ribosomal RNA". It matches the Rfam family "Bacterial small subunit ribosomal RNA", at positions 338 to 795 of the family's 1533-position model. Lineage: Bacteria; Pseudomonadati; Pseudomonadota; Gammaproteobacteria; Oceanospirillales; Halomonadaceae. The record is from RNAcentral.